UUGACUUUUUUCUAGUCAAACUUUUUUAGUUUGACCAAAUUUAUAGAAAAAUAUAGCAACAUUUUCAACACAGAACAAACAUAUUAUCAAAAUAUAUUCAAUGUAAUAUUUAACGAAACUAAUUUCGUGUUAUAGAUGUUGCUAAUUUUUUCUAUAAACAUGGUCAAACAUAAAGAAGUUUGACUUGGAAAAAAGUUAAA
This 200-nucleotide microRNA precursor is filed under the name Oryza punctata. RNAcentral's name for it is "MIR1435 microRNA precursor family". It matches the Rfam family "MIR1435 microRNA precursor family". Lineage: Eukaryota; Viridiplantae; Streptophyta; Magnoliopsida; Poales; Poaceae. The record is from Rfam by way of RNAcentral.